UCCCUCUCCUCUCUUUCUCUCUCCCUUUCCCUGCCUUCCCUCUCCUCUCUUUCUCUCUCCCUUUCCCUCCCUUCCCUCUCCCUCUCCUCUCUUUCUCUCUCUCUUUCCCUCCCUUCCCUCUCCCUCUCCUCUCUUUCUCUCUCUCUUUCCCUUGGUUUCCUUUGGUUGCAUUAUAACAGUCAAUCCCUAGCACACCCCAGUGGAUUUACAGUAUGUUUAAUAAGGUGAUCCUGUGUGUUCUAUACUUCCUGCUCUCUGGACCAGGAGGAAGACAUACCCAGUGAAUAAAACCCUACAUCUACGCCCCUGAUAAGUGGUCCUGUCAGUGGAUUUCCUGUAAUGUCCUGUGUCUCUUCAUCCACUGAUAGUGACCAGGCACUCCUGCCUACCCGCUUUAAUUCCAUUAGCCUCUCUCUCCUCAUAGUCUGAUCUACUUUACAGAGACCUGUUUGUGGGAUUUAUUUUGACAAAGAUGUGUUUGUGUCUGUGACAACAGUGAGCAUGGAGCUGUCCCUCCAUCAAAACCAUCUGGACACCCCCUGACUGGAUGGGGAUUUAUACAAACCAUUUAUAUACAUAUAUAUUUAUAUUACAGACUUUGAUUUGUCUUCAUGUAUUUUUUGCCUUUUGUUUUACUUGUGGAUGAUGUGAAACACAAGCAUUAGAUAUUACUGUACUGUUGGAGAUAUAAACACAAGCAUUAUGUAUUACUGUACUGUUGGAGCUAUAAACACAAGCAUUAUAUAUUACUGUACUGUUGGAGCUAGAAACACAAGCAUUAUGUAUUACUGUACUGUUGGAGCUAGAAACACAAGCAUUAUAUAUUACUGUACUGUUGGAGCUAUAAACACAAGCAUUAUGUAUUACUGUACUGUUGGAGCUAUAAACACAAGCAUUAUAUAUUACUGUACUGUUGGAGCUAGAAACACAAGCAUUAUAUAUUACUGUACUGUUGGAGCUAGAAACACAAGCAUUAUAUAUUACUGUACUGUUGGAGCUAUAAACACAAGCAUUAGGUAUUACUGUACUGUUGGAGCUAGAAACACAAGCAUUAGGUAUUACUGUACUGUUGGAGCUAUAAACACAAGCAUUAUAUAUUACUGUACUGUUGGAGCUAUAAACACAAGCAUUAUAUAUUACUGUACUGUUGGAGCUAUAAACACAAGCAUUAGAUAUUACUGUACUGUUGGAGCUAUAAACACAAGCAUUAAGUAUUACUGUACUGUUGGAGCUAUAAACACAAGCAUUAUAUAUUACUGUACUGUUGGAGCUAUAAACACAAGCAUUAAGUAUUACUGUACUGUUGGAGCUAUAAACACAAGCAUUAUAUAUUACUGUACUGUUGGAGCUAUAAACACAAGCAUUAUAUAUUACUGUACUGUUGGAGCUAUAAACACAAGCAUUAUAUAUUACUGUACUGUUGGAGCUAGGACCAGCUUGCUUAGGGGAUAUUUUAGCAGUUCUGCAUUUUAUGAGUUCUGCAUGCAGUCUCUCUCUGUGUCUCACUCUCUCUCUCUCUCUCUCAAACUCACACUGUUCCUCCCUCUCUUUCCAUCUCUCUCUCCCUCGCUCUCUCCAUCUCUCCCCCGCCCCACCACGUUAAGCUCAGGAAGGGUGAUUGGUCUAAAUUGGAUCUAAUGUUUCUGUACCUGGCAGCAGAGAUGCCAGAGCCUGCUGCCCCAUUGUCAUCCAAUUACACACACACACGCACGCACGCACGCACGCACGCACGCACGCACG
This 1740-nucleotide long non-coding RNA is filed under the name Salmo salar (Atlantic salmon). RNAcentral's name for it is "lncRNA (ENSSSAG00000117632.1)". The record is from RNAcentral. Lineage: Eukaryota; Metazoa; Chordata; Actinopteri; Salmoniformes; Salmonidae.